CAGGAAAUAGUUUAAUGAAAAUGCCAGCUUUGGGAGUUGGUGAUGAAGGUUUAAUUCCUUUUUUUCUGA
RNAcentral lists this transfer RNA (69 nucleotides) under Lepidothrix coronata (blue-crowned manakin). Its description in RNAcentral is "tRNA-Pro". It matches the Rfam family "tRNA". From Rfam's summary of the family: Transfer RNA (tRNA) molecules are approximately 80 nucleotides in length. Their secondary structure includes four short double-helical elements and three loops (D, anti-codon, and T loops). The record is from RNAcentral. Lineage: Eukaryota; Metazoa; Chordata; Aves; Passeriformes; Pipridae.